ACUCAAAGGAAUUGACGGGGGCCCGCACAAGCAGUGGAGUAUGUGGUUUAAUUCGAAGCAACGCGAAGAACCUUACCAGGGCUUGACAUAUAUCUGAAUAGUUGGGAAACUAGCUAGCCUUUCGGGGCAGAUAUACAGGUGGUGCAUGGUUGUCGUCAGCUCGUGUCGUGAGAUGUUGGGUUAAGUCCCGCAACGAGCGCAACCCCUAUUGUUAGUUGCCAUUAUUAAGUUAGGCACUCUAGCAAGACUGCCGGUGAUAAAUCGGAGGAAGGUGGGGACGAUGUCAAAUCAUCAUGCCCUAUAUGUCCUGGGCUACACACGUACUACAAUGGUCGUAACAAAGAGAAGCGAAACAGUGAUGUGGAGCAAAACUUUUAAAAAGCGGUCUCAGUUCGGAUUGAAGGCUGAAAUUCGCCUUUAUGAAGAUGGAAUUGCUAGUAAUGGCAGGUCAGCAUACUGCCGUGAAUACGUUCCCGGGCCUUGUACACACCGCCCGU
Molecule: ribosomal RNA, 497 nt
Filed under: uncultured bacterium
Lineage: Bacteria
Description: bacterial SSU rRNA
Rfam family: Bacterial small subunit ribosomal RNA
Source: RNAcentral